GACGAACGCUGGCGGCGUGCCUAAUACAUGCAAGUAGAACGCUGAAGGAGGAGCUUGCUUCUCCGGAUGCGUUGCGAACGGGUGAGUAACGCGUAGGUAACCUGCCUGGUAGCGGGGGAUAACUAUUGGAAACGAUAGCUAAUACCGCAUAACAGUAGAUGUUGCAUGACAUUUGCUUAAAAGGUGCAAUUGCAUCACUACCAGAUGGACCUGCGUUGUAUUAGCUAGUUGGUGAGGUAACGGCUCACCAAGGCGACGAUACAUAGCCGACCUGAGAGGGUGAUCGGCCACACUGGGACUGAGACACGGCCCAGACUCCUACGGGAGGCAGCAGUAGGGAAUCUUCGGCAAUGGACGGAAGUCUGACCGAGCAACGCCGCGUGAGUGAAGAAGGUUUUCGGAUCGUAAAGCUCUGUUGUAAGAGAAGAACGAGUGUGAGAGUGGAAAGUUCACACUGUGACGGUAUCUUGCCAGAAAGGGACGGCUAACUACGUG
This 495-nucleotide ribosomal RNA is filed under the name uncultured bacterium. RNAcentral describes it as "partial 16S ribosomal RNA". It matches the Rfam family "Bacterial small subunit ribosomal RNA", at positions 28 to 507 of the family's 1533-position model. The record is from RNAcentral.